AUCCUUUUGUGUUUUCUAAGUGUGAUGACUGGGUUUUCAUGCUGUUGUGUGAGAUGUGUCUGCUCAAACUUUGUUAUGAUGUCAGCACAUUAUCCAUCUGACA
Molecule: small nucleolar RNA, 103 nt
Organism: Onychomys torridus (southern grasshopper mouse)
Lineage: Eukaryota; Metazoa; Chordata; Mammalia; Rodentia; Cricetidae
Product: small nucleolar RNA U13
Exons: 1
Source: RefSeq, a predicted model, not a curated record